GAUGAACGCUGGCGGCGUGCCUAAUACAUGCAAGUCGAGCGAACAGAUGAGGAGGUUUCCUCUCUUACGUUAGCGGCGGACGGGUGAGUAACACGUGGAUAACCUACCUAUAAGACUGGGAUAACAUCGUGAAACCGGAGCGAAUACCGGGUAAUAGAUUGAACCGCAGGGUUCAAUAGAGAAAGACGGUUUUGCUUUCACGUAUAGAUGGAUCCCGGCCGGAUUAUCUAGUUGGUGAGGUAAUGGCUUACCAAGGCAACGAUGCGUAGCAGACCUGGGAGGGUGACGGGCCACACUGGAACUGAGACACGGCCCAGACUCCUACGGGAGGCAGCAGUAGGGAAUUUUCGCAAAUGGGCGAAAGCCUGACAAAGCAACGCCGCGUGAGUAGUGAAGGUCUUCGGAUCGUAAAACUCUGUUAUUAGGAAAGAACAAAUGUGUGAGAAUCUAUGCACGUCUUGACGGUACCUAAUCAGAAAGCCACGGCUAACUACGUG
RNAcentral lists this ribosomal RNA (497 nucleotides) under uncultured bacterium. RNAcentral describes it as "partial 16S ribosomal RNA". It matches the Rfam family "Bacterial small subunit ribosomal RNA", at positions 28 to 507 of the family's 1533-position model. The record is from RNAcentral.